Molecule: non-coding RNA, 30 nt
Filed under: Homo sapiens (human)
Lineage: Eukaryota; Metazoa; Chordata; Mammalia; Primates; Hominidae
Source: RNAcentral
UCACAAGAGAGCCAUGAGGUAGGCAUGAGG